UGGGCCGGAGGGGUCAGGCGAGGUCAGUAAAGGCCAAACUGCAUUUCCUGCUCUGGAACUGGAGGUGUAAGAUGAUGUGAUUAUGGGCGAGCUGGCUGAGGGGAAAUUGGGAACUGAUCCGUUAAUCCCCCCAUCCUCCUGAACCACGGACGACUGGAGGACCAAGGGGGCUAUCGGAGGAGUGGAAACUUAAGAACAAGGGAACCAGAAUGAAGCGAAUGGAAAAUGGCUCGAAAGCAGCACCUGCUCCAGGUCUUGAUCAGAUCAGGGGGUGCCGGCCGAAGGUGAGCUGAGCUGAGCUGAGCAAGGGAAUGAGAAACGAUGGAACAGGUGUUUGCCUCGUGAGAGAGAGAGAGAGAGAGAGAGAGAGGGAGAGGAGAGUGGACGGAUGGAGAUAAGCCAGUUAAUGACAACCUGUAUCCUCAAAAUCCAACACAACCCGAAUCAUAAAAAGGAAACAAAGUACCAUAGCAGCAAUUCCCAAUGAAAUUCAGACGCAUCCAACAGUUGAAUUAAUAACUAUCAUCUAUUCCCACAGGAAAGCUCUCCACAUUCUCUUGGAUAACAUCAGACUUCUCCUGAGCCAAAAAGGUUCCUUUACUGUGUGUUUAGCACAUCGAGCCAAGCCUCCACCUUUACUGAUGCUCAAUGAGUUUGUUUAGUGUGUGUAAAGGCGUUUUAUGGGUCUGUGUGUGUUCGUAUGAGGAUGGGUGGGAUUUAUGAUGGUGGAAGUCUAUGCUGAUGCAUCUCUACAGCAGUAAAGGUGCAGCUGAGUACAGACGGACCACAAAUAGGUUCAAUAUAUUUAUAUAUUUUCAUAUUUGAAAAAGAAAUAAAUGCAAAACUAAAAACUGAAAUAAAAUGCAAUUAAACCUGAAAUAUGAAUAUAAAAACACUAAUAAAAAGAUAGAAAGCACAACAAAGAUGACUCCAAAUUAAACUAAGAUUACAAUGAAAACUGAAAAGCUAAUUUAAACAAUUAAAAACACUAGUACAUAGAUAAUAAUAAAAUAACGCUAUAAAUAUGAAUUAUUGAAGCCUCAGUGUAAAUUCUAUUGGGAAGACUAAAUGUCAUGUCAUUCAUUCAUACUAACAGGUGUGGCCAAUCACUACUUAACAACUGGAGAAUAUAAGCACUGAACUCGCUGUUUCAUUUUUCGCAGUCAAUGACGCUGAUGUUCCCCUCCAUCCUCCCCACCACCACCAGGUUGGCCCUGUCCAUCCGGGGGUGGGCUCCGCCCCUGCCUUCAUCUUCAGGCAGGAUCAGCCAAAUCUGCAUCCCCAGGAUUUGGAUAAAGGUUGGGGUCUACGCCAAAGAAUUUUUAUACAACUAUACAUGAAUUAUCGUGACUCACUACCAUCUGUAAAUUCUUUACGGAAUAAAUACCAU
This is a long non-coding RNA of Onychostoma macrolepis, 1390 nucleotides long. RefSeq lists it as uncharacterized. NCBI's taxonomy places the organism in Eukaryota, Metazoa, Chordata, Actinopteri, Cypriniformes, Cyprinidae. The transcript has 3 exons. The record is from RefSeq and is a predicted model, not a curated record.